RNAcentral lists this unclassified non-coding RNA (366 nucleotides) under uncultured Amanita. Its description in RNAcentral is "sequence contains ITS2". The stretch from base 1 to 154 matches the Rfam family "5.8S ribosomal RNA". The record is from RNAcentral. Lineage: Eukaryota; Fungi; Basidiomycota; Agaricomycetes; Agaricales; Amanitaceae.
AACUUUUGGCAACGGAUCUCUUGGCUCUCGCAUCGAUGAAGAACACAGCUAAAUGUGAUAAGUAAUGUGAAUUGCAGAAUCCAGUGAAUCAUCGAAUCUUUGAACGCAUCUUGCGCUCCUUGGCAUUCCGAGGAGCAUGCCUGUUUGAGUGUCAUUAAACUAUCAAAACACAUUUUUACGAAAAGUGUUUUGGACUUUGGGAGUAUUGUGCUGGUCUGUUUGAGCCAGCUGUCCUCAAAAGCAUUAGCUUUGGAGACCAUCAGUGUGAUAAUUUGUUUACACUGGCUUCUCCUUUUAAAUGCACCCUUUGACCUCAAAUCAAGUAGGACUACCCGCUGAACUUAAGCAUAUCAAUAAGCGGAGGCU